CCUGAUGGAGGGGGAUAUCUACUGGAAACGGUAGCUAAUACCGCAUGACCUCGAAAGAGCAAAGUGGGGGAUCUUCGGACCUCACGCCAUCGGAUGUGCCCAGAUGGGAUUAGCUAGUAGGUGAGGUAAUGGCUCACCUAGGCGACGAUCCCUAGCUGGUCUGAGAGGAUGACCAGCCACACUGGAACUGAGACACGGUCCAGACUCCUACGGGAGGCAGCAGUGGGGAAUAUUGCACAAUGGGCGCAAGCCUGAUGCAGCCAUGCCGCGUGUGUGAAGAAGGCCUUAGGGUUGUAAAGCACUUUCAGCGAGGAGGAAGGCAUCACACUUAAUACGUGUGGUGAUUGACGUUACUCGCAGAAGAAGCACCGGCUAACUCCGUGCCAGCAGCCGCGGUAAUACGGAGGGUGCAAGCGUUAAUCGGAAUUACUGGGCGUAAAGCGCACGCAGGCGGUUUGUUAAAUCAGAUGUGAAAUCCCCGCGCUUAACGUGGGGAACUGCAUUUGAAACUGGCAAGCUAUAGUCUUGUAGAGGGGGGUAGAAUUCCAGGUGUAGCGGUGAAAUGCGUAGAGAUCUGGGAGGAAUACCGGUGGCGAAGGCGGCCCCCUGGACAAAAACUGACGCUCAGGUGCCAAAAGCGUGGGGGAGCAAACAGGAUUAGAUACCCUGGUAGUCCACGCUGUAAACGAUGUCGACUUGGGAGGUUGUGCCCUUGAGGCGUGGCUUCCGGAGCUAACGCG
This 740-nucleotide ribosomal RNA is filed under the name Rahnella sp. SS82. Its description in RNAcentral is "bacterial SSU rRNA". It matches the Rfam family "Bacterial small subunit ribosomal RNA", at positions 129 to 859 of the family's 1533-position model. The record is from RNAcentral. Lineage: Bacteria; Pseudomonadati; Pseudomonadota; Gammaproteobacteria; Enterobacterales; Yersiniaceae.